UGACCUCCACCAAGACUUACAUCCUUCUU
RNAcentral lists this non-coding RNA (29 nucleotides) under Rattus norvegicus (Norway rat). Lineage: Eukaryota; Metazoa; Chordata; Mammalia; Rodentia; Muridae. The record is from RNAcentral.